Bombus terrestris (buff-tailed bumblebee) is the source of this 1283-nucleotide long non-coding RNA. RefSeq lists it as uncharacterized. The record is from RefSeq and is a predicted model, not a curated record. The transcript is spliced from 3 exons. NCBI's taxonomy places the organism in Eukaryota, Metazoa, Arthropoda, Insecta, Hymenoptera, Apidae.
AUCGCGAGUCGAACGAAGGAAUCUUCGUUCUAAUAAGAAAGUCACGAAAAAGAAGAAACCGAUUCAAGUGGUUUAUCAUAUAUGUAGGUAGAUAUAAAGCUAUGGGCGAUAAAACGGUAGCUGAAACUGACUUUGAGCAUCGACGGUUGAGCAAACGACUGCAAACAGGGGAAAUAUCGCAGCUGGCCAACAAUCGAGGAAUAACAAAUUACUGUUCCACCACUAGCGGCGCGUCGCCCACCAAGCUGGACACUGCACUGUCGCGAUAAAAUGGAAGCACGUGCGUCACAAAGGAUACAAUCCCUAGCGUGAGGCUCCGGCAACUCUAUCGUAAAGGAAGGAAGAAAGAACACAAAUAUGGUCGCAGCAACUGAGAAUUGUAUUAGUCAAAGUAAAACGGAGAAGAAGAAAGAUAUAAAGAGGAAAAGAAGACGAAACAACAAGUGUAGAAACCUAAGCAUAGUUAACAAUGGUAUACGCAACUCAGGGACAGUUGUAUCAAUAUCAAUAUCUGAGAAGAAUAACGUGGGCCAACGACCAGCCGUUUCCCGCAAGAUAAAAGCGCGUUAGGCCAAGAGAUACGCCAUGAAUUCAUCCUGCCGAAGACGAGUGGGUGUGUUCUACCGGAAAUACAACACCGGAACCGCGGCAAAUUACAGCGCUAACUCAACGCUCCUUCGAUGUUACAAUUACAAAAUUACUUUUUCGAAAAUAAAUGUUUAGCGAAAGAUUACAUUUGCAUCCUACGUGACACGCCAAACUCGUUGUUGUCGCGUCGAUUUACGGAAAAAAUACUAAUCGUAAGAAUCGUAUGUGAUGCGACGCGAAAGAGUAAGAAAAUAUAUAUAAGGACGAACGAUACGUAGCAGAUAUCUGUGUAUCGUGUGAAAAAUACGCGCGCGCAUGCUAUCUUUAUUUAUAUGAUAAAUUCUUUUAUCGAUAUAAUAAAAGUAGCUUAUAAAUAUAAGAAACAAUGAUUCGACCGUGGAAAUUUCAUUUACAUACACGAUGUAAAAAAGACCUGUUCUUGUAUGUCAAACUUGCAUAAAGAGUUGUGAACGAUCCAAAUAAAGAGACGAAUAAAAACAUUGAUAUAGGAAUAUCAAAAUGAUUCAUAAACAUACGCAGCACGUCGGAAGUCACUGAUUGUUUCGAAGGAUGGUGACCUCUGUCUCUCUGUCUGCCACAGGUCAAUCGCCUUUUUACCAAUUAACUUGAUCCCUCUGUCGUCGUAAAUUAAACAACAGCUCUUAACUUACUCACCUACUGUAUCUAAAAAUUCA